RNAcentral lists this ribosomal RNA (492 nucleotides) under uncultured bacterium. Its description in RNAcentral is "partial 16S ribosomal RNA". It matches the Rfam family "Bacterial small subunit ribosomal RNA", at positions 29 to 507 of the family's 1533-position model. The record is from RNAcentral.
AGUGAACGCUGGCGGUAGGCCUAACACAUGCAAGUCGAACGGCAGCACAGUAAGAGCUUGCUCUUACGGGUGGCGAGUGGCGGACGGGUGAGGAAUACAUCGGAAUCUACUUUUUCGUGGGGGAUAACGUAGGGAAACUUACGCUAAUACCGCAUACGACCUACGGGUGAAAUCAGGGGAUCUUCGGACCUUGCGCGAUUGAAUGAGCCGAUGUCGGAUUAGCUAGUUGGCGGGGUAAAGGCCCACCAAGGCGACGAUCCGUAGCUGGUCUGAGAGGAUGAUCAGACACACUGGAACUGAGACACGGUCCAGACUCCUACGGGAGGCAGCAGUGGGGAAUAUUGGACAAUGGGCGCAAGCCUGAUCCAGCCAUACCGCGUGGGUGAAGAAGGCCUUCGGGUUGUAAAGCCCUUUUGUUGGGAAAGAAAAGCAGCAGGUUAAUACCCCGCUGUUCUGACGGUACAAAAAGAAUAAGCACCGGCUAACUUCGUG